ACGGAAGGCAGCAGUGGGGAAUAUUGCACAAUGGGGGAAACCCUGAUGCAGCAACGCCGCGUGAGUGAUGAAGGUCUUCGGAUUGUAAAGCUCUGUCUUUAGGGACGAUAAUGACGGUACCUAAGGAGGAAGCCACGGCUAACUACGUGCCAGCAGCCGCGGUAAUACGUAGGUGGCAAGCGUUAUCCGGAUUUACUGGGCGUAAAGGGAGCGUAGGCGGAUAUUUAAGUGGGAUGUGAAAUACCUGGGCUUAACUUGGGUGCUGCAUUCCAAACUGGGUAUCUAGAGUGCAGGAGAGGAGAAUGGAAUUCCUAGUGUAGCGGUGAAAUGCGUAGAGAUUAGGAAGAACACCAGUGGCGAAGGCGAUUCUCUGGACUGUAACUGACGCUGAGGCUCGAAAGCGUGGGGAGCAAACAGGAUUAGAUACCCUGGUA
RNAcentral lists this ribosomal RNA (434 nucleotides) under uncultured Clostridium sp. RNAcentral's name for it is "partial 16S ribosomal RNA". It matches the Rfam family "Bacterial small subunit ribosomal RNA", at positions 341 to 792 of the family's 1533-position model. The record is from RNAcentral. Lineage: Bacteria; Bacillati; Bacillota; Clostridia; Eubacteriales; Clostridiaceae.